CUUUUUCGCCCUAAAAACUUCCGCCUCACAACAACAAAAUACUCCUUUCCUUCUUCUUCUUAAUCGAAGUUAUCCGCUUAAUGGUUUUACACCUCCAUUAAUCGAAGUUCUCCGCUUCUUCUUCUUCUUCUUCUUCUUCUUCUUCUUCUUCUUCUUCUACUAACUUCUCUUUUCCUCUUCAAUCGCCGCCGCUUUUACACCUCCCAGAUUCACAUGGAGAUACCAAAAGGCUCAAAUUGAAGACUAGAGAAGCAUUAAGUUUACCUCAGCAAGAACGUGUUGUGCUGGAGUUUGAUUGCUUGGAUCCGAUUGGCGACGCACAAGGCCUUCUUGUAGGCGUAUGUGGCCUUUUAGCAACUGACUGUACCAUAUUUUCUUAGCUUUGAUAAAUGGUCGGAUAUGCCUAAGUCAUACUUUAACGACUGCUUUACUAACAUUAUAAAGCCUCAUUUCUGUUUUAUGACCAUUGAGGAAGUUGUACGGGAAUAUGUUUAUCGCUCUAUUGCAAAGAAGUGGACUGCAAGUAGGCAGAAAUUGUGAUAUGAGUUUAAAGACCCACUUAAAACCAAAGAUGAGAUUAUGGAUAAUGUUCCGGUAGGUAUUACUCGGGAUCAAUGGACUUCCUUUGUGAAUUACCAUUAUAAAGAAGAAACUCAGAACACGUGUAAAAGAAAUGCUGAAAAUCGGAAAAAAUAAAUAGUUCCACACACCGGUGGCUCCAAACCUAAUUCUAGAAGAAGGGCUGAAAUGAUGGCUGAGACAGGGAGAAAGCCUGGACGAGCAUAACUUUAUCUCGCUAUACAUACGAAAAAAGAUGGAUCAUAUGUAAAUAAGGAGGCAAAAGAAAUAUGUUUAAGUGAUGAGCUAGUGGACCCAUUUCACCUAUGGAUGCAAGAAGAUCUUUUGGCGCUAGUAAUCCCAGUGACAGCUAUUGAGAUUCAUUUUAAUCGAAGUGGAUGUAUUAGGAUAACGUAAUAGCUGACUAAUAUAGACGGUUAACUAUGUUCUAAGUUAGCUUGAUGACAUAUGAUACUACUCUGUCAUAGUAUUUUUC
This is a non-coding RNA of Nicotiana tabacum (common tobacco), 1054 nucleotides long. NCBI's taxonomy places the organism in Eukaryota, Viridiplantae, Streptophyta, Magnoliopsida, Solanales, Solanaceae. The record is from RefSeq and is a predicted model, not a curated record.